This 253-nucleotide ribosomal RNA is filed under the name uncultured bacterium. RNAcentral describes it as "partial 16S ribosomal RNA". It matches the Rfam family "Bacterial small subunit ribosomal RNA", at positions 524 to 776 of the family's 1533-position model. The record is from RNAcentral.
UACAGAGGGUGCGAGCGUUGUUCGGAAUUAUUGGGCGUAAAGGGCGCGUAGGCGGUGCGGUAAGUCACCUGUGAAAUCUCCUGGCUCAACUGGGAGCUUGCAGGCGAAACUGCCGUGCUGGAGUGUGGGAGAGGUGCGUGGAAUUCCUGGUGUAGCGGUGAAAUGCGUAGAUAUCGGGAGGAACACCAGUGGCGAAGGCGAUCAUCUGGGGUUGUUCUGACACUGAGGAGCGAAAGCUAGGGGAGCAAAAGGG